UAUUACCUCUUUAUUCCUAUAUCGUCGCUUUUUAAAUCAUGAACGCUUUUUAAGGACGCAUGGCGACGCGGAGCUUGCGUGGAAGCGCUUUCGGCGUGCUCCGCCGAGUUGAGCCGCUCGUGGUGCUCCAGCAGCUGGGCACGUCUUUGUUCAACACCGCUCUGCUUAUGGUGGUCAAGGACCGGUUCACCAACGCCACCUUCCCGGGCACCGCUGACACUCGUUUCUCCGGGGAAGACGAGCAGCAGCGAGCCAUGUCGGAUUUCUAUUUGGUCAACAACCUCAUCGUCCAGCUGACGCCUAUCGUGCCCGCUCUCCUCCUCGCCAAGGCGGGCGACCGAGGUUGGAGAAGGGCGCCCGUCUUGGUACCCCUGUGCGGGUACCUGCUGUCGAGCGUCACCCUCCUCCAGGUAGUUCUUUUACAGUUGCCCAUCCAGGUGAUGUUCGGGUCGGCGGCUCUCUUUGGGAUAUCCGGCGGCUUCUGCGCUUACUGGCCCGGCGUCAUGACGUUGGCGUCGCUCGGCUCCGACGCGGAGAAUCGCUCCAAGGUGAUGAUGAGAGUGGAGCUGAUGUACGGAGCGGCGGGCCUCCUGGGCAGUCUGCUGUCAGGUCAUGUGUUCCUACUGUAUAGUUCUAGUGUCCGACAUGGAACUGUCCUACUUUGCGUCUGCACGCUUCUCCACCUGCUCGGCCUCACUCACGCCGCCGUGCUGCUGCAGGUAAAGCAAGUAUCAAGUGAGCCUGAGGAGUGCAGCCCCCUGCUCCCCGACUCCUCUGCUGGCGUUCCUGCAGAGACUUUCAAAAGGAAGAACAUGGUAAACGUGGUUCUGCUCUUCUCCGCGGCCAUCUUGUAUGGCUCCUCGGUGGGCGGAGCCAUGGAGAUCCUGGGCGUCUUUGUGAUGAAAGAGCCACUCAACUGGAACGCUGCCCAAUUUGCUCCUCUAGGUGGGUUACGGCAACGCAGCGGGCUUUGUGAUCUUCCUCAGCAGUUACCUAGGCGCCAUUGCUUUUCGCCGCUGCGUGUGCGACGUCACGCUCAUAUUGUUCGGCAUGCUUUCGUUCGCCUGCGGGAUCUACUUCAUGUCUUUCGUCACCGCAUCUUACAUGUUCUACCUCGCUCGCUCGCUCAGCCUCUUUGCCCUCAUCCCGCUACCUACGAUCAGAUCACUUCUCUCCCAGCAGGUUCCAACAUCCCUGUGUGGCAUCACUUUGACAGCUCUGCAGCUGGCGUUGAGGUUCGGAGCUCUGGUGUACAUUCCUGCCUUCACUAAACUCUACCAGAGAACACUGGGCUGGUUCCCAGGUUUCGUCUUCACCCUUUCCAGCAUACUGGCAGUUCUGGGAAUGAUUCCCAUCAGUGUCGUGGGAUGCAGACGGUCUCAGCCAAGAUGUCCCAAAGAGAUAGGCACGACGGUCGAGACACGCCAUUUGGAGGAGAACUGAAGCCCGCUUCCUCUAAAGAUAAAACCGUGAACACUUCAAAAAGGAAAGAUGAGCAGAUGUGUGUUUUACGUCACACAGCGUGCAGCCUUUGGAAUAACUAUAGUGUGGAAUGAGAUCUGAUGAAAAAAAAAAUGGACGGCAGAUAUCUCGAAACUCUCAUGGCCUGACCAAGGUUAUAUUAUUUACAAUGUCAUUAGAUGUUUUUUUAUUAAAUUUCAAUGAAUGAAAAUUUGCUUUUUCACUACAUUCUGUUAACAGAACAAGGAAUAGAGGACAAACUUCACAGAUAAAUAUCAAAUCAAUUUAUUUUAAUAUUGGUCCAAUAUAUCCCAAAAUAGUUUGAGGUAAAGGUAAUCGCGUCAGUACAACAUCAAUAUCCAGGCCUCAUAUUUAUAUCUAAUUACAAGAUGUUCAAGUCUACAGAAUGGACCAAAA
Molecule: RNA transcript, 1878 nt
Organism: Hippocampus zosterae (dwarf seahorse)
Lineage: Eukaryota; Metazoa; Chordata; Actinopteri; Syngnathiformes; Syngnathidae
Gene name: thymic stromal cotransporter homolog
Exons: 7
Source: RefSeq, a predicted model, not a curated record